Oncorhynchus mykiss (rainbow trout) is the source of this 8544-nucleotide long non-coding RNA. NCBI's taxonomy places the organism in Eukaryota, Metazoa, Chordata, Actinopteri, Salmoniformes, Salmonidae. The record is from Ensembl.
GACUUUACCAUCUGGCGUCUGUUAAUGUCCAGACGUGGCGGGUGACCACCCAAGAUGGGAGAUGGACAUAACAAGACCUAUAGGAUGCUACUCAAUAGCUAAAGGCUGACGAUAUCCAUAUCUGGAGGACAUCGGACGAUAAAUAGUAGGAUGAGUGAGGAUUUCGCUGCCAGCACAGUUUGGUGAAGAGUAGAAACGGUGACCAAGCAGCAACACGACCAUCAUGCCAACCACCCAGGGAACCGGAGGGGCUGGCAGCCCACGGGUUCAGCGCUACCGUCCGGCCUCGGAGUUUGACAACGCCACCCUCGCCCAGAAGAGAGAGUACUGGAGGACUAAGAAACGAGAGCAGAGGGCUAAGUUGUCAGAGGUCAAGAAGGAGAGGUCAAAAGCAACAAACAGAGGAAGUAAAUCCUUGGACAGUAAUGCAGUCCAUAAAACCAUAACCUCAAUGGGGUUGAAUUCUGGUGCCUCUUGUUCAAUAGCAGGGUCUGCCCCCCCUUUGUUGAAUAGUGAUGGUUCCUACCAAACUUAUGUCGGCGGUGCACCUGUAGUCCUAUUGAAGGGAAAGGGCUCUGCUGUCUCCUAUAAUCAGAACCAUAGUGUUGGGGAAGGGGGCCAAAACUAUUACUCAGCAAACCAAAAGGAGAGUUGGUUCCAGAGGAUAAAACUCAACAAAGUCUUGCCUCAGUUCCCAACGUCCAGUGCAGGCCCAGGAAAAGGUGCAAUGGUCUGCAAGAUGGCAGUGAAAAGUUAUCCAACAGGGGGCGCUGUGAUUGGAACAGUUACCUCAGCCAAACCCAAUGGAGUGCUUCUCAACAGUGGCUCCUUUGUGCCUCCGGUAAGAGUGGCGGUGAGAGCCUCAGGCUCUGCACCUCGCCAACCACAGAGCGGAAUGACUAUUCUCAAUGGCAGCUCUCCUGUAGUGUCAUCUGAGCAGCAUCUGACCACCCAGAGUGUAUCAAGGCCUGAUGCAAUGACAAAGACGCAAGUUACAGUGUCUGUUCAGCCUAGAUCGCUAACCACUAACAUUACCACAGGGAUGGCCAUCGUGACCACUCAAUCUGCCCCUAUGCUCGUUCACAAACCAGGGGUUAGGCCUAGAGGGAUGAAAGUAACACCGCUAGGCGGGAAAAAGAGUGCAGUGGUCGCGGCCCAAGAAGUUAGAAGCAUCAACGACACAUCAGCUACACUGGAGACUGAGGAGGAGCGAGCCGCCAAGCGCAGAGAGAAUUGGCGCAUCAAGAAAAGAGAACAGCGAGCGAAGCAAGCGGCUAGGUUAAGCAAGGUCAGCAAAAGAAUCACUAACAUGGAGGUAUCGUUGCAGAAAGUAGAACUGUUACCAAACGUGGACGCUGAACGUCCCCAGUCCGCUUUGAGUGGACAGGGCCAGAGGCAGUGUGUUAGUAGGGUCAGUGCCCCGUUCAUCUCAGCCGGACGGCUGCUGAAGAACGCCAGAGCAGUGGCUAGCUUUGCUGUCAAAAGGGAGUCUGACGAUUCAAUCCUGGCUAAGCUAACCACAGUCGACGUUAAUGAACAAACCGUUCAGCUAAGAGCAGAGAAUCUGCAGGAGGCUAAAGCAACAAUGCAGACUGGUAUCACAUCUAAUAUCAUUGGUUAUAAACCAGCAGGGGAACCAAGCAGAAGGCUCCCUGGUCCAGUGCAGUUUGCCAACGUUAACCGAGUUAUGGUCCGUUGUAGGACUCCGAGACAGAGGUUCAUUGAAACCCAAAGGAAUUUCCUGGGUCAGAGAAAGAUGAGGAAGUCCCCCUAUCAUGCCAAAGCCUUAACAACCUACAACGCACCACGAGAUGACUCAAAGGAGACCCCCGAGCAGAGGGCGGCCCAGAUGCGGGAAUACUGGCGCGUCAAGAAGCGGGAGCAGCGAGCUAAGCUUUCUGGCGAAGUCCGAGCUAAGAUGAAGGAGAGGGAUGCUCUGAUGCAAAGAGUCAAGCGUUACCAGAGCAUCCUGGAGGAUAUGAGGAAGGACAGAGCAGCGGGCUGCAACACGCUGCCACAACCAACAGAAAAUAGGCCUACUCACACCAGCGCCUCAGAGAUCAUUGGAGGUUUCAUCAUGGAGGAUGGCACAGUGACCAAUAACAUUCCUCAAAUUGAUCUCACUACAGAAGCAAAAGAGACUGGGGAUGAAAUUGGUAACAGUAGUGGGAUGCCUGUUAAUAAUUUAUUUACCAACACACACCGCCAACACCAACUGCUUCCCAAACCUACUGGUGAUGCCUUUAGUAAUGUGGUGUUAAGUCAUCAAACACAGGACAACCCACCACCUCCUCUAAUCCGUUCUGCUCAGUUUCAAGUCUCUUGCCCUCCCGUCGGCCUGUCGAUCAUGAAUCCUCCCAGGUUGGUUUCAAUCAGACCGAGGACUGAAUUUCGCAGCACACCGAAAAACCUCUUGAAUUUACACACAGUCUUCCAGCCCCAGAGUCAUAUCACCCUCACACACCCUCAAAACAUCCAAAACACCUUUCCUGGUGUGCCUACAGCAAUGCCAAAGCCGGCUAGCUGUGUCAUGCAGAUGGCUGUCAAAGCUUCUACAGCAUCAGCAGUGCUUAACUUGGACCCAAAGCUAACAGAGGAGGAAAGUAUGGCUAAGAAGAGGGAGUACUGGAGGGUAAAGAAACGAGAGCAGAGGGCAGCCCGUGCCAUCCGCCUAAGGCAAGGAGUUCAAGCUCGGGGAAAUGCUGCCUCACAGAAGAGGCGGAACCAAAGGUUAGCACGAUUAGCCAAUCCCAAUGUCAACACCUCUGUCAGCCACACACACACUAUCAAGCCUCUCUCAAACACCAGUCUGCCCAUGCCUCCACAGGGAAACCAAAUUAAAAAAGAAAGAGAAUCAAUCUCAACACAUGCUCCAUGUCCUCCACUGGAACAACCCCUCUGUGUUGAUAUCAAACUGUCCCAGUCUCCACCACAUCCAGAGCCACCAGACCUAGCCUUGAGUGCUGACAGCCAGGCCACCACUCUCCUGGCAGUGGCCUCUAUGAAGAAGCUGCUGGAGGAAUCUCUCAGCACUGUGGCUGACUGUAAAACGGAACAGCCUGACUGUAUUACAGAACAGCUGCUUUGUAAAAGUGAACCCCAGGCUUGUUCCUCCGAGGAGAAUGCCAUCCAGAUUGAGGUCAAGCCAAAUCUACCUCUGCUCACCCUGGGAGACGAGGAGAAAGCCUCCAUAUCUGGUGACCUAUUGUUGGAGGUCAAAGGGUGGCAGGUGGAUGCUGACGCCCCGCCACCAUGUCAGGUGACCAUUCGUCCACUGAGUCCUCAUCCUAAGGACUCUCCCCUAUCCAGUCCUUGUGCUAACACACUCUCUUUCUCAGCUUCCCCUCUCAAUCGGUCCGAACCCCCCUCUCACACACCCACACAAUCUUGCUCCCACAAGGCAGCUUCCGGAGAACCACCCCUCCCUGUCCCUCGUAGAGCCCAGAGGUUGCGUGCCAAAAAAGCAGGCCACCACCACUGCUGCUCCCCAGAACCUCCAAAGCUACAUCACCAGCCACCACAACAACAACCACCUUGCCAACUUCAAAAUCAACACCAGCGUCAACAACAUCAAAAACACCCCCAACAACAGCAGCAGCGUCAGCAACAUCACCACGCCCCGGCGGUGACAGACCAGAAUGUGACUCUGCAGAAGAAGAGGGAGUACUGGAGGAUGAUGAAGAGGCAGCAGAGAGCCAGGAAGGCUCGGCAGGGAGGAGGGGGGCUGAGGCAGGGGGACUACAGCAGACGACUAGCCCUCAAAGCAGCACAGGCUCCGAAUCUCCAUAUUGUCAAGACUCCGACACAGAGGCCAGUGCAGAGAGGCGGGAGCUUCAGUCUACAAGCCGCACCAUUGCUCAAACCCCAGCCCUCCCCCCUUCUCCAGCCUAUAUCUCCCCCUGACUCUGGACCUCAGGCAAGCCUCAGCAUGGUCACCAACAUCCCUACACUUCUGGUUGUGAGCCCCACCACCUCCAACAUGGGACAGCCAUCUGAUACACUACAGCUCAGACCUCCGGUCAACUGUACCAGUAUUUCCAAUUCAUCCAUUGGCCACCCAGGGUCCCCCCAGACAUCUAACAGCUUCAGUACCGCAUUUCUCCCUGUAGGAGGCGGUGUCACUGUCCCUCCAUUGGGUGAGGGGAAGAAAGGCGGGCUGCUAUUGGUGGAGAGCCAACAGGAAGCGGCCCCGGGGUCCAGCCCUGACUCGCCACGUGUUAGAAAAUGGCGAUUGCAAGUGCAGGAAAUCUCAGACGCAGACGCCUCACCCAUCGCUACUCUCACACCUCCGCCCAACCCUCUGACUAGCAUCAAGCUCUUACCAAUUCAUCCUCCCAGUCAAACGUCCACAUUCACACCAACACAGACUCCUUUCAAAUGUCAAGGUGCUCAGAUUCCUCAAAGUGGGAAUUUACAAAAUGUAGGAUUGCCUACAAUGCAGGGGCUGACCAGAAGCCCCAUCUACAUAAGCUCCAUGGGUCCACCCAAGCCAGUGCCGGGGGAGUCUGAAGAGGAGACUCUGAGGAAGAAGAGGGAGUACUGGAGAGUGAAGAAGAAGGAACAGAGAGCUAGGAAGGCCAUGAGGGACAGGGAGCUGACUGAGAAGAGGGCUUCGGUCAACUGGAGGCCCAUCCUCCCCAGCAGUCAGCCUCAACACCUGCUCCAGGGGCUGGAUACACAGUUAAUUUCCAUUAGGUCUGACCGUCAUUUUUCUCAACCAAAGGAACAGGAUCCUGACCAGUGGGUCAACACCUCGGAGGGCUCUGAACUACAUCUAAGUACUUCCACAGAGACAGACAUGGGCUACUUUCCUGACCAAAGCCAUACGGAACCUACAGAAGAGGAAUCAGAGCUCCUUUUCCCAGACGGUGAUCAUAACGACAACUACAACGGCCCUAUCUCAGAUGCUGUAUGGAGGAACUGCUACCUCAUGGACUACGACCCCCUGAACCAGCUGCUGGUGUGCAUGGUGUGCGGGGAGCUCCAGUACUCCCACAGCCUGGAGGGGGUGAGGGCCCACAUCGAGGAGGCCCACCCGGACACCCUGAGCCUGGUGCCCCCGGAGCGCCGGCACAUCCUGGAGGCCUGGGACGAGCAGGUGUCCAGGAGAGAACUUUUCUUCACCAGCCAGCUGCAGCAGCACAGCGGUGGGAUGGGAGGGGACAGUGCCAACCUCCCAGCAGAAGUAGAAGUAAUGGUUGAUACAGAGGACUCGUCAUACCUGAAGAACAGCAAGAGCUCCAAAACCACCAACAGACUCUGAGAGCUAAGAAGAAGCACAAAUCACUAAAUGCCAGACAGCGUAAAACAACAUUGUUCAGAAGUGGAGGAGGAAAAGAAAAACGUUACUGCUGGUUUCUUUUAAUGUCUGUUUAUUUUUUUUUUGAGCAGUUCACCUCUACAAAAGAUAAACUAAACUUGAACUGCAUACAUAGGUGACAUUGAACCACAAGAGACGAGCUUUACCUCAUUAACUUUGGGAUACACACAAACACACAUUCGCUGUUUUUGAAAGCGCAGUUUUGUAGCGAUUGUCAUUCUCUACUACUAAACCAAGUCUCCUAUGCCCGAAGCAAACAGUUCAUAUUUAUGUCGGCACUGGGUUCAAUAAUGUCAUUGUGCUUUAUGAAACACACUUAAGCAGACAGGAGGGCUCUCCUCGUCAACUGAAUGGGUUAACAUCCCUGUUUUAAUGCAUCCAUGACGAACAGGUCAGUUAUCAUCUUCAAUCUGAAUGAAUGACAUGUCCUUGGUCUGACUCAAUGUAUCAGAUAUGAUAUGAUGCAGGUUAAGGGCAAAUUGCAGACGUGUAAAUUUGACUCGAGACCAUGCGUCAUUUGAAAUUGUCUACGGGUGAUCAGCUGUUUGAUAUUCGUCUGUACACACAGUACCAGUCAAAGGUUUGGACACACCUACUCAUUCCAGGGUUUUUCUUUGUUUGUACUAUUUUCUACAUUGUAUAAUAAUAGUGAAGACAUCAAAACUACGAAAUAACACACAUGGAAUCAUGUAGUAAAUAUAAAAAGGAUUUAACAAAUCAAAAUAGAUUUUCGAUUUUCGAUUCUUCAAAGUAGCCAACAUUUGCCUUUGCACACUGUUGGCAUUCUCUCAACCAGCUUCAUGAGCACUUGCUGAGCACUUGUUGGCUGCUUUUCCUUCACUCUGCGGUCCUACUCAUCCCAAACCAUCUCAGUUGGGUUGAGGUCUGGUGAUUGUGGAGGCCAGGUCAUCUGCUGUAGCACUCUUCUUCUUGGUCAAAUAGCCCUUACACACUGGAGGUGUGUCGGGUCAUUGUCCUGUUGAAAAAUAAAUGAUAGUCCCACUAAGCGCAAACCAGAUGGGACGGCGUAUCGUUGCAGAAUGCUGUGGUAGCCAUGCUGGUUAAGUGUGCCUUGAAUUCUAAAUAAAUCACAGACAGACCCACACACCAUCACACCUCCAUGCUUUACGGUGGGAACCACACACUCGGAGAUCAUCUGUUACACUACUCUGCGUCUCACAAAAACACAGUGGUUGGAACCAAAAAUCUAAAAAUUUGACUCAUCAGACCAAACGACAGAUUACCAACGGUCUAAUGUCCAUUGCUCUGUUUCUUGGCCCAAGCAAGUCUCUUCUUCUUAUUGGUGUCCUGUAGUAGUGGUUUCUUUGCAGCAAUUCGACCACGAAGACCUGAUUCACGCAGUCUCCUCUGAACAGUUGAUGUUGAGAUGUGUCUGUUACUUGAACUCUGUGAAGCAUUUAUUUGGGCUGCCAUUUCUGAGGCUAGUAACUCUAAUGAACUUAUCCUCUGCAGCAGUGGUAACUCUGGGUCUUCCUUUCCUGUGGCGGUCCUCAUGAGAGGCAGUUUCAUCGUAGCGCUUGGUGGUUUUUGUGACUGCACUUGAAGAAACUUUCAAACUUCUUGAAAUGUUCGAUUGACUGACCUUCAUGUCUUAAAGUAAGGAUGGCUGUUCUUGCCAUAAUUUGGACUUGGUCUUUUACCAAAUAUGUCUAUCUUCUGUAUACCACCCCUACCUUGUCACAACACAACUGAUUGGCUCAAACGCAUUAAGCAAAGAAAUUCCACAAAUUAACUUUUAACAAGGCACACCUGUUAAUUGAAAUCCAUUCCAGGUGACUACCUCAUGAAGCUGGUGGAGAGAAUGCCAACAGUGUGCUAAGCUGUCAUCAAGACACAGGGUGGCUACUUUUAAGAAUAUAAAAUAUAUUUUGAUUUGUUUAACACCUUUUUGGCUACUACAUGAUUCCGUAUAUGUUUUUUCAUAGUUUUGACGUAUUCACUAUUGUUCUACAAUGUAGAAAAUAGUAAAAAAUAAAGAAAAACCCUGGAAUGAGUAGGCGUAUCCAAGCUUUUGACAUUUUAUAAUUUCAUUUUAUAUUUUUUCACAAUUUCUAUCAGUUUUGUUAUUCAGAUCCAAGGGAUGUCCUUGCAUGGGGUUAUUUUAAAUAUUCCGUAAAAAGUUGAUUUUUUUUCGGUCCCACUUUAAAACGGAGAGCAACUUAUAAAGCAGGGUCCUCCAACUGGCGUCACGCCAGUUUGGUUUUAUUUGCCCCCCCCAAGUUCUCUGAGCCAAAAAAUAAGACUGUAAACACCAGCAAAUCAGCUCUGAGAUUUAAAUUUUGGAGAUCUGUUCCAAACUAUUUCCAAGCAGAAGAGAGAUGCGAUCGCAUACAAAUGCGAACAAGGUUCAAGUCAUCUGUAAGCGUAUGUGAUACUCUAUGAAUGGUGUACAAACAGUGCAUGUCGUCACAUUUGGCAAUUUACCCUACAGUGGGAAUUGUCACCCUUUGGAGAGUAUGACAUACGCUUAUUGAUGAUUUGUGAAGCAUUUAUUUAGUGCUUAUGAAGCCUUUGUGCAUGCUAUACAGGUUGCACUUUGUUCAAAGUGGGACCGAUUUUUCUAGAUAUUAAUGCACCAUACUUUACAACACUGAAUCUUCAAAAUACUUUUUUUUAAAACUGUUUUCGUAUAACGUUUUUCUGAAAUGUAAAAGAAUUCUUCCUUUAAGAACAUUUAAGUUUUUGUAAUGGUGAUUUGACACAUGUAUGCCUGCACUGUAAAUACAACAUUUAUGUUUAAAGGGGUGGUUAAAUGUCAAUACCCUUAAUGUAUUAUUUGAUUUCCUAUGAAAAUAAACCUAACCCUUUAUGGUUAGUGGUACUCAUACUGCUUCUGAUUUUGUUAAUAUUUCCUUGUCUCUAUACAUACUGUGUACAUUUAACUCUUUCAAUGUAUUUAUUUGGUCUGAACAAUCAGUCAAUGACACAUGACUAUUUCAUUCGUAUUUAAUAUCUUUGAUUAAACGAUCAACAAAUGAGCUUUUUUUUUUCCCCCCCAGUCAAAAUUACAAUCCAAUGGCCUGCUGCUUGGAUGUGGAGUGUUGGACAUAUAUAUACGUAUAGGAAGUAUCAGAAAUCAUGUGGAAGAGAUUUUCAUUUGCAGUGUUUUUGGUUCACCAAUAUGCUGAAAAUAAUGUCCAAGAGCACAGUCUGAAAAUGCAUUGAAAACAGAAAGUACUGUUUUAUUUUUUUCUUGUACAGCU